CACUACUCUAAGCUCGGUCUAUCAUUCUAUCAUUCUAUCAUUCUCACCUUCUCAUCUUUCAUUUUCUUUCAUAUCAUCUUCUCAUCUUUCAUUUUCUUACACAUUAUCUUCUGUUCUUUAUCUUCUUUUCUUCUAUUUUAUUUCAUCUAUUUAUUUUCAUAAAAAAAAAAAAAACAAAAAAAAAAUCAUAAAGAAGAUAAUCCGGAUUUGAGGACAAAUCCUUUUUCAAGAGGGAGAGUAUGAUAUGAUAAUGGGAAGCAUCAGGAUAUGUGUUCAGUGUUCGAAGCGUAUCUUCCGAAUGACAAGAAAUCAAUUCACGAAACCACUUGGAGAAUGUUCUCAGCUCAACUAUGGAACUCCUAGAAGAAGAAUCAAAGCAAAAGGAGAUCAAAAAAAGGAGUUAUUCAAUUUACAAAUCAGGUGUUCUCCAGUUUACCAGAUUCGGACCUUCGCGCAUUCAAUGAAGAAUUCCGACGAGACCAGAAUGAACUAAGCUACAAACUGAGUUUUUCUACAAUCUUGGUCCAUUAGAGAAUCCCAGAAAAGUAUAUUCAGCCCAAAAAUAAUCAAGGAAGAUCAAAUUUCGUCCAUAGAAAAGACUGCAUUUAAUUCUGUCGAUUUCUCUCUCUUACAUGCACUUUAGAGUUUGAAUUUCAUCUCCCUAGAUGCUUUGCAUGUUAAGAAACUAUUAUGGACGAAUUUGUUGUAAUUUCUCUAUAUAAUGAGGUUCAUCUCAUGAAUAAAGAAUAAGCCUUUUUGAUAUUUUUGGAAUCCUUUGAGAGUGAGUUUUCAUUUUUCGUCAAUGGUGUGUAAUAUCCAUUGGUUUGGUUAAUGGUGUGUCCAUUGAUCAAUACAUGAUCUGUCUUGGUGCGUCAUAUCCAGGGGGUCUUGUCGAAAGUGAUUCUCAUUUUCAGCCUUGAAUUCGUCUUACUGUGUCAUAUCUAAGGAAUUCAAGUUCGGUAAAUCAAGAGUCUUCCGCAGCUCUUGUGUGACCAUUCGCUCCACCAUCCUUGUUCUUCG
This 1020-nucleotide long non-coding RNA is filed under the name Arabidopsis lyrata. Its description in RNAcentral is "long non-coding RNA (ALYR_LNC000222)". The record is from RNAcentral. Lineage: Eukaryota; Viridiplantae; Streptophyta; Magnoliopsida; Brassicales; Brassicaceae.